UCGGUUCAUUUACUUUUCAGGUUUCGUGUAUAGAUGGAACUUUGAGAAAUAUUUAGAAAGGCAUUUCGAUUGAUAAAAGUACAAAUGGGAGGAUAAAUAUAAAAAUAAGUGAAAAAUAAACUACAAUUCAAUCAAGUUAAUGAGAUAAGCAAAUUUGAUUUUUCUUUUAGUUCAAUAGAGUUUCAAUAAAUAAAUAAAAUGAAAAAAUCACUCAAUUGAAAAGGCAAUUUCAUAUUAUAGCCUAAAGCUGACACCAGUAAUUGAGGAUGAAGGAGUACUUAUCACUCAAGGGCGGGUGUAGUUGUGUGGUAUCGGGUUCAUACAAAUCCAGUACUUUCUGAAGCAUAAAUUCAUACAUAAAAAUCAGCUAAAAUUGUAAUAAAUAGUAAAUAUGAACCUAUAACUUUAAAUAUCAAAUGAGUUGAAUGUUAAGAAUCUUAACUAUUGAAUCCAUAAGCUAAAUUCUUGAAUCCGCUUUUGUUACCACAAAGGGUGGAGCUAAAGUAUAGCUUACAGGUUCGACCGAGCCCAAUAGCUUUGGUCCAUUAUAUGUAAAAAGAAAAUACAUACAUAUAUAUAUAGGAUUAUUAAUUUGAAAUCUAAUAACUUAAAAAGGACUGGAACAACAACUUGCCCAAAUAGGAAAACUAAACAGUGCAAUUUUUGCUUGACAAAUAUUUUACGAGUAAAGUUAUUUUUUUAAUUGACCACUAAAUAAACUUAGUGGAUAUGUAUUAUUAAUAAAAUAACAAACAAAACAAAAGUUGUCUUAAAGCAAAAAAGAAAACAAAAGUCAGCUGAAGAGCCGACCAUCAAACAAGAAAAAUCAAAAGACCAAAUUAGAAAGUUCUCGAUAGCUAAGAUGCUUGAACGCUGGCGACGACAUCGGCAAGGCUAGAUCGGACUUCACCCAAGGUUAAGUGCUAGCUUCUCUGCUUUUGAUUCACUUUUAGCAUCUCAAAUUCUCACCAGAUGCUAUGAAAAUCAUUGCCAUGGAGUUGAGUCUAUGAGAAAGCCAAAUCUUGUCUUUUCGGGCUCAAUUAGUUGGAGCAACUUACUUUCUUUUAUGGGUUUCAUUAAUAUCGCUAAACUACAUUAGAAAGAAAGAGGGAGGAAUCGAAAGUAAAACAUACUCAGAAGUUUCGUAUCACAUGAACUGCGAAGAACAUCAUAGAGGUCAUAUCACAUCAACGAGUUCAAAUCAAGCAUGUGCGACCUCAACAACAUCAAGAUGAGAGUUUAUCCACAACAAGAUCUAUACAGAGAAGCGAAAUUAAACCUGAAUCAAGAACAUCAGACCGCCAAUGAGAGAGAUAGAUGCUCGAGCAAAUUUAGGGGUUCAAAUAAUUUUUUGUUGCAUCUACUUUCCUUUUUCUUUCCAUUUUUCUUUUUCCUUUUCUUUAUUUUUGGACAGCUUUUGCUUUUAUGUUUUUUUUUAGGAUUUUAAUAAAUAAAAUGGCCAUCUCGAGCUGACAAAAAUGUGGAA
Long non-coding RNA from Lycium barbarum (goji berry), 1486 nucleotides. RefSeq lists it as uncharacterized. The transcript is spliced from 2 exons. The record is from RefSeq and is a predicted model, not a curated record. Lineage: Eukaryota; Viridiplantae; Streptophyta; Magnoliopsida; Solanales; Solanaceae.